This 464-nucleotide ribosomal RNA is filed under the name Vreelandella stevensii. RNAcentral's name for it is "partial 16S ribosomal RNA". It matches the Rfam family "Bacterial small subunit ribosomal RNA", at positions 339 to 795 of the family's 1533-position model. The record is from RNAcentral. Lineage: Bacteria; Pseudomonadati; Pseudomonadota; Gammaproteobacteria; Oceanospirillales; Halomonadaceae.
CUACGGGUGGCAGCAGUGGGGAAUAUUGGACAAUGGGCGAAAGCCUGAUCCAGCCAUGCCGCGUGUGUGAAGAAGGCCUUCGGGUUGUAAAGCACUUUCAGUGGGGAAGAAAGCCUUGGGGCUAAUACCCUCGAGGAAGGACAUCACCCACAGAAGAAGCACCGGCUAACUCCGUGCCAGCAGCCGCGGUAAUACGGAGGGUGCGAGCGUUAAUCGGAAUUACUGGGCGUAAAGCGCGCGUAGGCGGUCUGAUAAGCCGGUUGUGAAAGCCCCGGGCUCAACCUGGGAACGGCAUCCGGAACUGUCAGGCUAGAGUGCAGGAGAGGAAGGUAGAAUUCCCGGUGUAGCGGUGAAAUGCGUAGAGAUCGGGAGGAAUACCAGUGGCGAAGGCGGCCUUCUGGACUGACACUGACGCUGAGGUGCGAAAGCGUGGGUAGCAAACAGGAUUAGAUACCCCUGUAGUC